RNAcentral lists this long non-coding RNA (359 nucleotides) under Apteryx rowi (Okarito brown kiwi). RNAcentral's name for it is "lncRNA (ENSARWG00000008050.1)". The record is from RNAcentral. Lineage: Eukaryota; Metazoa; Chordata; Aves; Apterygiformes; Apterygidae.
AGGGCUAAUGAAUUUUCUCUUAUUCACCAGCAAUAUUUUGCCCAGUUGGCAAUGUCAGACAAGCUAUUGCCCCUUCAUGAGYUCUGAUUUGUGUUUUCUUUUCAACUAGCGUUAAGAGCCGGCACAGCUGCUGACCUCCUACCGCCAAAACAUUGGUCUGCCCAAGGCUCUACAGACUGUUUUUAAGCCUUUAAUGAAGCAGGCUGUGUCAGCCAGAGUGGACCUUUCUCUGCUUUGCUACAGCCAUCCUUCUUCUGGACCUGACCACAAGCAUGGAGAGCUGCCUCCRGAGAGAGAACACCCUCAUUUAUUCUCAAAUGCACCUUUCACUCCUGAAUCUCUUCAAGAACAACCUUCCC